RNAcentral lists this non-coding RNA (31 nucleotides) under Rattus norvegicus (Norway rat). Lineage: Eukaryota; Metazoa; Chordata; Mammalia; Rodentia; Muridae. The record is from RNAcentral.
UAGGUGUCCUCUCCUGCAGAACAGAAGCAUU